Molecule: ribosomal RNA, 239 nt
Filed under: uncultured bacterium
Lineage: Bacteria
Description: partial 16S ribosomal RNA
Rfam family: Bacterial small subunit ribosomal RNA
Source: RNAcentral
GAUCAUGGCUCAGGAUGAACGCUAGCUACAGGCUUAACACAUGCAAGUCGAGGGGCAGCGGGAAGUCAGCUUGCUGACUUUGCCGGCGACCGGCGCACGGGUGAGUAACACGUAUCCAACCUUCCCGUUACUCUGGAAUAGCCUUUCGAAAGAAAGAUUAAUACCGGAUAGUAUCGAGAGAUUGCAUGAUUACCCGAUUAAAGAUUCAUCGGUAACGGAUGGGGAUGCGUUCCAUUCGG